Schistocerca piceifrons (Central American locust) is the source of this 1016-nucleotide long non-coding RNA. RefSeq lists it as uncharacterized. The record is from RefSeq and is a predicted model, not a curated record. The transcript has 3 exons. Lineage: Eukaryota; Metazoa; Arthropoda; Insecta; Orthoptera; Acrididae.
AUCUUUGAAAGGAGCGCAGCCUCAGUUCCUCCCGUGAUGUAUACAUACAAAUAAAUAUUUACAAACAAAAGAAAGUGUUUGUUUUGUGCAAAUGUGAAGUGCUGAGACAUUCGUAUAGACAGGUAGUUGCGUGUGGACGGAUCUGUAAAGAUGUUACUAUCUAGGGAUAACAUGCGGUAGAAUUCUUGUUUUUUGGUAGUUAAGAUGGUUUCAACACUACAGCUUCUCCUGCCAUCACUUGACAACCUAGCAGGUUGCAGCUCUGAAGCCUGACCUGUGCUUGCUUAAGAUCCCCCUCAUAUGAGAGACAGGCAUCAGCUGGACAGAAGAGUGUUACUCUUACGUUCAGCAAGCAGCUAGAGAGUACCUCGGGUAUUGUACCAAACUCAGACUUGUGAACACGAGCAUCAAGUUCAUCCAUUAUAAUCUUGUUAGUAGUGACAGAAUGUACCACAUAAUUGAAAACCUAGGUUAAAGUGCACUUAUGGUGUUGGCGGAACUUUCACUGUGUGGUGCUGUUGGUCUCCCCUGUACGACAACAUGGUCCCUAGAAAUUUGAAUCUAUCUACUUGCACUGUAAUCUUGUUGUCUAUAAUACUUUUGUUGUUACUGGUUUUUUCCACAGAAAGCCAUGGCUUUUGUUUUUUGUAUUGAUAUUGAUAUAUUAUAUAUCUAGCAUGUUUGGUAUAGUCUGUAGGCAGAUCUCUGCUGUCAAUCUUCAUUAUUCGAAAUUAACGCCUGGUCAUCUGCAAAUAACAGAGUCAUAAUGUAAUCUUUCUGGUUGAAGUUAUAUGCAUAAUUCUUCAGUUUCAUUCUCCAUUGCUGUAUAAUGUCAUCAGUGUAUAUACUAAAAAGCAGUGGAGAGAGGUUACAAUGUUGUGGAACUCCUAAAUUAAUAACCUUUGUUGUUUUUUCGUUAUUCCCAAUUCUUUGGAUUCUUGUAUUAGCGUAGAUCUUUCGAACUACGUGUACAACAUGUAUUGGUAUACCUUUUGUUAUUAAAAUUUCCCACAAUA